RNAcentral lists this ribosomal RNA (641 nucleotides) under Lactococcus lactis. RNAcentral's name for it is "bacterial SSU rRNA". It matches the Rfam family "Bacterial small subunit ribosomal RNA", at positions 31 to 655 of the family's 1533-position model. Lineage: Bacteria; Bacillati; Bacillota; Bacilli; Lactobacillales; Streptococcaceae. The record is from RNAcentral.
GAACGCUGGCGGCGUGCCUAAUACAUGCAAGUUGAGCGCUGAAGGUUGGUACUUGUACCGACUGGAUGAGCAGCGAACGGGUGAGUAACGCGUGGGGAAUCUGCCUUUGAGCGGGGGACAACAUUUGGAAACGAAUGCUAAUACCGCAUAAAAACUUUAAACACAAGUUUUAAGUUUGAAAGAUGCAAUUGCAUCACUCAAAGAUGAUCCCGCGUUGUAUUAGCUAGUUGGUGAGGUAAAGGCUCACCAAGGCGAUGAUACAUAGCCGACCUGAGAGGGUGAUCGGCCACAUUGGGACUGAGACACGGCCCAAACUCCUACGGGAGGCAGCAGUAGGGAAUCUUCGGCAAUGGACGAAAGUCUGACCGAGCAACGCCGCGUGAGUGAAGAAGGUUUUCGGAUCGUAAAACUCUGUUGGUAGAGAAGAACGUUGGUGAGAGUGGAAAGCUCAUCAAGUGACGGUAACUACCCAGAAAGGGACGGCUAACUACGUGCCAGCAGCCGCGGUAAUACGUAGGUCCCGAGCGUUGUCCGGAUUUAUUGGGCGUAAAGCGAGCGCAGGUGGUUUAUUAAGUCUGGUGUAAAAGGCAGUGGCUCAACCAUUGUAUGCAUUGGAAACUGGUAGACUUGAGUGCAGGAGA